CUCGAAUUGGUGUAGUGGUAACACGGCUAUUGACACACAUGCCCGCUCUUGGGCGGCAUGUGCCCCACUGGGGGCAGCUGUCUCAGGUUCGAUUCCUGGAUUCGGGG
This is a non-coding RNA of Ilyonectria robusta, 107 nucleotides long. The record is from the annotation of a RefSeq genome assembly. NCBI's taxonomy places the organism in Eukaryota, Fungi, Ascomycota, Sordariomycetes, Hypocreales, Nectriaceae.